Long non-coding RNA from Homo sapiens (human), 7307 nucleotides. RefSeq lists it as uncharacterized. NCBI's taxonomy places the organism in Eukaryota, Metazoa, Chordata, Mammalia, Primates, Hominidae. The transcript has 2 exons. The record is from RefSeq and is a predicted model, not a curated record.
CCUAACCUUGUGAUCCACCCACCUUGGCCUCCCAAAGUGUUGGGAUUAUAGGCAUGAGCCACUGCACCCGGCCUCAACUAGUCUUUCUUACAGCACACUUCAUUUAUAUAAACCAAUUCAAUUUACUUGGCAAGAAACAGGCAGAGAACAAGAACAAAGUAUUUCAAAAGAUCUGGUGAUUCUGCCUACCGUUCCUAUUUACUAAGUGCACAUCUGAGAGUGUAAAGGUGGAAAGACUUAAUUCUGCCAUUCUCUUAGUAGGUGUUAGUUUCAGCCUGGCCCUCAUAGGGUGAACACUUCAUCAUGUAGAACAGGAGUCUGGUUACAGUCAGGUAAAAGCCCACUGCAAUGCACUAAGUGGGGUCCAAAUAUUCAAUUGUUUAAAUUGCAAGGUGAAGUUAUUGAAAAGUAGCCUCUUCUAGAUAGUAUGGGGGAAAACAUUUGUUUUGUUAGAUGAUUUAUUUAACUAGAAACAGGCCAAUUAUUACACGCAAAAUGUACACUGAAUUUUAAAAGUCCCAAAUGAUGACAAGUCAGUUCACAAACCAAUCCCUCUAUCAUCCUCCAUCUCAUACUCCCCAACUACACAAGAUAAGAGCCUUAGCUUGUUUCCAUUGAGAAGCAGGGCUAAGAACGGGCUGGAGCCAAUCACAUAUAUCCAAAUUUGUACUAUUUGUAGGGCUUUAUUAUUCUUUUUUAUUUCAUGUAACACCUAUAAAUAUAAGUCAGCUUUUUCAACUAGCAUUCAAUAGAACAGAGAUGUGUUCCAAUGUUGGAAGGAAAAACUGGCCAAGUUCAAUGUAAAGGGAAUUGUACUAUUUUAGCAAUUUAAAGGAUUUCCUAGGCCAAUUUUUGACUACAUGUGGCUGACAAUGAUGACUAAGCUUCAACUUAACACACACCUCCUCUAUACUGUAAUACAUAAAGUGAUGUGCCUGGAAACAUAAGGUGUGGUAGAGGUUGAGAGCAGAGAUUACUUUCUGUUGGGAAGAAUUCACUUUUUCUAUUUUAUGGAACAGGAGGAAGUUCAGCUGGAUUGGAAAGAAUAGGUAGCAUCAGGUCUUAAACUGGAGGACUGGAGAAAAGAGCUGCACUGCAGACAAGAGAACACAAGUCAGAUUGCUAGAGGCCACGUGGAAGAACGAGAAAUAAGGCUGGAAAAGUAGGGCAGAGUUAGGAUUUUUUUUUUUUUUUUGAGACGGAGUUUCGCUGUUGUUGCCCAGGCUGGAGUGUAAUAGAGUGAUCUCGGAUCACUGCAACCUCCACCUCCCGGGUUCAAGCCAUUCUUCUGUCUCAGACUCCUGAGUAGCUGGGAUUACAGGUGUGUGCCAUCACACCAGGCUAAUUUUUGUAUUUUUAGUAGAGAUGGGGUUUCACCAUGUUGGCCAGGCUGGUCUCGAACUCCUGACCUUGUGAUCCGCCGGCCUCAGCCUCCCAAAGUGCUGGGAUUACAGGUGUGAGCCACUGCGCCCGGCCCUCACCGUUUUUUUUUUUGUUUGUUUUUGUUUUUGAGAUGGAGUUUCGCUCUUGUUGCCUAGGCUGGAAUGCAAUGGCGCAACCUGGGCUCACUGCAACGUCCGCCUCCCGGAUUCAAGGGAUUCUCCUGCCUCAGCCUCCCGAAUAGCUGGGAUUAUAGGUGGCUAAUUUUUUGUAUUUUUUUUUAGUAGAGAUGGGGUUUCACCAUUUUGGUCAGGCUGGUCUCCACAGUUAGGAUUUUUAAAAAUAGCUUUAUUGAGUAGAGUCAAAAAUUAUCCUAGAAAAUCCUUUCUAGCCAUACAAUUCACUAAUUUCAAGUAUACAAAUCAAUGGUUUUUAGUAUAUUCACAGAGUCGUGCAGCCAUCACCACUGUAAGUUUUAGAACAUUUUCAUCAUCCCCAGACUCUUUAACCAUUACCAAUCACUCUCCAUUUCUCCUUCCUCCCAGCCCUAGGCAACCACUAAGCUACUUUCUGUCUCUCUGGAUUUGCCUAUUCUGGACAUUUCAUAUAAAUGGAAUCAUAAAGCAUGUAUGACUGGCUUCUUUUUCCUAGCAUAAUGUUUUCAAGGUUCAUCCAUGUUGCAGCAUGUAUCAAUAUUUCAUUCCUUUUUAUGGCUCAAUCAUAUUCCCUUCAAGGGAUAUUCCACAUUUUAUCUAUUCAACAGCUGAUGGAUAUUUGGGUUGCUUCUACUUUUUGGUUAUUAUGAAUAAUGUUGCUAUGAACAUUUAUGCACAAGUUUCUGUGUGAGCAUAUGUUUUCAUCUCUCUUGGGAUUACACCUAGGAGUGGAAUUGUUAGGUCCUAUGGAAACUCUUAUAUUUAAUCACUUGAGGAACUAACUACCAGACUCUUCCAAAAUGGCUGAACCAUUUUAUAUUCCCACCAGCAGUGUAUGAGGAUUCCAAUUUUUCCACACCCUCCUGACACUUGUCAUUAUCUUUUUUUUAUUACAGUCAUCGUAAUUGGUGUGAAAUGGUAUCAUGGUGAUAGAUUUAGGGUUAGGAUUUUAGAAAAUUCUUAAAUAUCAAACUAAGGAACCAUGAAGGUUUUCAAUCAACGCAACUUUACGAUCAGAGAUGUUUCAAUAAGAUUUAUGUGGCUGGGUGCGGUGGCUCUCGCCUGAAAUCCCAACACUUCAGGACGCAGAGGCGGGCGGAUCACAAGGUCAGGAGUUCGAGACCAGCCUGGCCAACAUGAUGAAACCCCAUCUCUACUAAAAAUACAAAAAAUUAGCUGGGCGCAGCGUCAGGCACCUGUAAUCCCAGCUACUCGGGAGGCUGAGAACGGAGAAUCGCUUGAACCCGGGAGGCGGAGGUUGUCGUGAGCCGAGACGAUGCCAUUAUACUCCAGCCUGGCGACAGAGCGAGACCCCAUCUCAAAAAAAAAAAAAAAAAGAUUGAUGAAAACUCAAGGAAGAGAAACUGCUGCCAUCCCACUACCAGCCUGAGGAUAAUAACAAGGAGAAUCAGUAAGAAGCACAACCAUACCAUGACUAUCUGUGUCUAGAACCAUCCAAUUUCCGUUAUGUGACAUAAUCAGUUUCCUUAUUAUUCAAACCAAUAUAAGCUGAAGUUUUAUGUUACUUAUAGAGAUACAGUAGCUAAGAAUACUAUGUAAGAAGAGGUAGAUUAUACACACACACAGAUAACGAUGUUCAUAACACAUUAGUGGGAAAAAAGUUAUAAAGCCAUGACUAGUUUAACUAUUUUGUUUUAAAAUUAUAUAUAUAUAAUUAAUACAAAAUUCGAAGAACAUAUAAAAUCUGCUAGUUGUUCAUUGCUUCCAUGAUAGCAUUACUAGGAUCUUUAACUUUCUAUAUUUUUCUGUUUGAAUUUUUACUACAAACAUUUAUAUACAUUAUUUUGUAAUAAAUAAGAUAAAAAGAAUAAAAUAGGUAAAUUCCUUUCUAUUAACUAAUUUCUAGCAUCACUGACAUUGAUGUACUCUCAUUUUGUAAGUUUCCAUAAUAAAGCUAUUUGAAUUCUACGGUUAUUGGCUAAUUUUUUCAAAGUUAAGGAAUAUAUGCACAGUCAAUAGGGCUCAGAAUAAAUAAAUGGCUCCCCUGUGAACAAACUUAAAAAGUGACUACAGCAAUGUUACAGGCCAGCCUUCAUGACACUGUGCUCCAACUAUUUGUCCAAAUUAUUUGACUCCACUGGAAUUCAUUACAUCAAAUAUUAAUUGAAGUAAACAGGCCAUUUUGAGUGCCUACUACGUGCCAGACACUGUAUCAGACACCUGAGGGUAGUUCAUAGUAAACACUCAUGGUUUAAAUACACUGUCAUCAAAAUAGUGUUUGUUUAAAUAGAUUUAAUUUUUUGAACUGCUAGUCUCUUCAUCUAAAAAAGAGACACUGUACAACUCCUCCUAGUGGCUAAAGGUAUUUUACAAAAUUCUAAUAUAAAUGUUUUCCUUCCCCACUGAAUAUUAAAACAAAUGCCUCUUUGCCACUAAAUUUUUUGCCCACAUUUAUACUAAAUUAUCUACUUUUUAUAUGAGUAAAUCUUUGGUCACUCACUAUAUUUUCACUCUUAGUGUCCACAGUGGUUGCUUCAAUAUAAAAUCUAUUUCAAUACAAAGAUGACAAAAAGAGGCCUAUUAUCUUUGUCUACACAAAUAGGUCUUAUUGAAUGUUUUCACCUCGGCUAGAUCACUACUCUUGGCAAGAUUUUUGUUUAGUACUAUUCAGGAAUCUAUUUAGUUCACCAAAAGUGAUCAACUUCUAACUUAAACAUUCAAAUAACAGCAUAAAAGAACUGAUAUGUCAAAAAACAAGUUUCAAUGAACUAUAUGGGUGUAUAGUAGUCAGAUUAUUACUUUCCUUUAUAAGAAAGUCUGCAAAUGAAAAAAAAAAUAAUUUUAAUGCCAAUGCAAUAACUGAAUUAAAUUAGUACAAACUGAGUAUAUUAUUUAAUAAGUAUACCAAUAAGAAGCUGGCAGAAUAUUUUAAGAAACCAAAUGACCUUGUCUACUUCCAAGUUUCUUUAUAAUAGUAUUCUUUUGUUUUGUUUUCCUGGAGUAACUUAACAUUUACUGUAAGGAGAAAUCCUGUUAAAAUAGUGUCUUUUAGUUAUGUAUAAAAUCCCAAUAGUAUCAGAAUUGAUCCUUAACUUGUAGGAUGUAGUUCCUAUACAGUUCACAAGCUCAAAGCUUUGUUGUUCUCUGUCGUCACAUGACUAUCAUGUGUUCAACAUAAGUUUUCUACAAACAUGCAAAUAAAUACAUUAAAAACUAGUAUAUAAACUUAUUUCACUUAAAAAUAUUAUACAACAUUUAUAUUGAUUCAACACUAAUUGAGAUAUCAUGCCAAUUCAAAAUUAGCCUGUUCACACUGAACAUCUGAAUUAUUCACAUUUUAAUAAUACUAAAAGGGCUGUCUUUAAGUUAAAAAAAAUACACACAAAACUCUACUGUGUUUUACAUAUUAAAAUACAGGAUGAAUGAUAAAAAUAUUUAAAGCUCUAAAAUCUUCAGUUGACACUUCAAGGUAUUUUAAAUACUUUUUAUUAAUUAGAACUACAGCAUAAGAACUUCAAAUUGAAAUUUUAAUUUCUGUUCUAAAUUAUUAUUGAGUAGGAAAAAGCAUGUACUAUUCAUGUAUUUUGUACAAUCUCCUUGAAUAAUAAUAGAAUUCUUUGAAAUUAAAGUUGUGACUCAGGAAGUCCUAGCUAGAGCAAUCAGAUGAGAGAAAAAAAUAAAGGGCAUCCAAAUUGGAAAGAAAGAAGUCAAAUUAUCCUUGUUUGCAGAUGAUAUAAUCGUGUAUUUGGAAAAACCUAAAGACUACCAAAAACUAUUAGAACUGAUAAACAAAUUGAAUAAAGUUGCAGGAUACAAAAUCAACAUACAAAAAUCAGUAGCAUUUCUAUAUGCCAACAGCAAAUAAUCUGAAAAAGAAAUAAAAAAGUAAUCCCAUUUAUAACAGCUACAAAUAAAAUUAAAUAUCUAUGAAUUAACUUCACCAAAGAAGUGAAAUAUAUCUACAAUGAAAACUAUAAAACACUGAUGAAAGAAAUUGAAGAGGACACAAAAAAUGGAAAGAUAUUUCAUGUUUGUGAACUGGAAGAAUCAAUAUUGUUAAAAUGUCCAUACUACCCAAAGCAAUCCACAGAUUCAAUGCAAUCCCUAUCAAAAUACCAACACUAUUCUUCACAUAAAUAGAAGAAACAAUCCUAAAAUUUAUAUGGAACCACAAAGACCCAGAAUAGCCAAAGCUAUCCUGAGCAAAAAGAACAGAACUGGAAGAAUCACAUUACUUGACUCAAAUUAUACUACAGAGCUACUGUAACCAAAACAGCAAGGUACUGGCAUAAAAACAGGCACAUAGACCAAUAGAACAAAUAGAGAACCCAGAAGUAAAUCCAUACAUCUACAGUGAGCUCAUUUCAUCAAAGAUGCCAAGAACAUACACCGGGGAAAGAGCAGUCUCUUCCAUAAGUGGUGGCAGGAAAACUGGAUAUCCAUACGCAGAAGAAUGAAACUAGACCCCUAACUCUCGCCAUAUACAAAAAUCAAACCAAGAUGGAUUAAAGACUUAAAUUUAAGACCACAAACUAUGAAACUACUAAAAGGAAACAUUGGGGAAACUUUCCAGGACACUGGAUUGGGCUAAGAUUUCUUGAAUAAUACCCCACAAGCACAGGCAACCAAAGCAUAAAUGGACAAAUGGAAUCACAUCAAGUUAAAAAGCUUCUGUACAGCAAAAGAAACAAUCAAGAAAGUGAAGAGACAACCCACAGAAUGGAAGAAAAUAUUUCCAAUCUAUCUAUCUAACAAAGGGUUAAUAACCAGACUAUAUAGAGAGCUCAAACAACUCUACAGGGAAAAAAAACCCCUAAUAAUCCAAUUUACAAAUGGGCAAAAGAUCUGAAUAGACAUUUCUCAAAAAAAGACAUACAAGUGGUAAACAGGUAUAUGAAAAGGUGCUCAAUAUCACUGGUCGUCAGAGAAAUGCAAAUCAAUACUACAAUGAGAUUAUCAUCUCACCCCAGUUAAAAUGGCUUUUAUCCAAAAGGCAGGCAAUAACAAAUGCUGGCGAGGAUGUGGAGAAAGGGAACUCUCACAUACUGUUGGUGGGAAUGUAAAUCAGUACAACCAUUAUGGAGAUCAGUUCUCAAAAAAACAAAAACAGAUCUACCAUAUGAUCCAGCAAUCACAUUGCUAGGUAUAUACCCAAAAGAAAGGAAAUCAGUAUAUUGAAGAGAUAGCUGGACUCCCAUGUUUAUUGCAUCACUAAUCACAAUAGCCAAGAUUUGGAAGCAACCUAAGUGUCUAUCAACAGACUAAUGGAUUAAAAAAAAAAAGUGAUACAUACAUGCAGUGGAGUACCACUUGGCCAUUAAAAAAAGAAUGAGUUCCUGCCAUUUGCAACAAUGUGGACAGAACUGGAGGUCAUUAUGUUAAAUGAAAUAAGCCAGGAACAGAAAGGCAAACUUCGCAUGUUCUCACUUAUUUGUGGUAGUUAAAAAAACAAUUGAACUCAUGGAGAUAGAGAGUAGAAGGAUGGUUACCACAGGCUGGGAAGGGUAGUAGUGGGGGUGGGGGGUGCAGAGAAUGUGAUUAAUGGGCAUGAAAAAGAUAGAAUGAGUAAGAUCUAGUAUUUGAUAGCAAAACAGGGUGACUAUAGUCAAUAAUAAUUUAACUGUACAUUUAAAAAUAACUAAGAGUAUAAUUGGAUUGCUUGUACAACCAUACAUACAAAAGAUAAAUGCUUGAUGUGAAUACCCUGAUGUGAUUAUUAUGCAUUGUGUGUCUGUAUCAAAAUAUCUCAUGUACUCCAGAAAUGUAUAUAUCUACUAUGUAGACACAAAAAAAUAAAAAUUAAAAAAUAAA